Molecule: long non-coding RNA, 530 nt
Organism: Capsicum annuum
Lineage: Eukaryota; Viridiplantae; Streptophyta; Magnoliopsida; Solanales; Solanaceae
Exons: 3
Source: RefSeq, a predicted model, not a curated record
UGAACAUUAAUAAUAUAAAAAAAAAAUUAAAUGAUGAGAAACACUAGCUUUACUUCUAUUGAAAAUAGAUCUAGUAACAAGAUAACACUAAUCAGGUAGGCUUAUAAUAUCAUAUCAUAGUGUAAAUCCACGCAUCUGCCUCCCGCUUUCUCUCACUUAUCCCCUUUAUUUCAAUUUUAGAUCUGAUAAAUUUCUCCAUUUUCUCCCAUAGGUAGCGGCAACUUUUGCAUCCAUUUGGUGGCAUCUCGUCAUGAACUGCUUGCGUAGGUGAUGUUAUAUCUAGCUGGCAUUUCUGGUUCCUCUAAUGUACCAACAUAAACAUAGAAGCGAGAAAGUCCUAAUUAAUAAGAUUCUGACGAUUAAUUUCAACACUAAUUUUAUGGAAUCCAGCAAAUUAAAUACCUGGAAGGACAAAGUGAACUAUGUAUUCUCACUAUUGAAUAUCAGAUUGUAUUAUAAUAUAGGUCCUAGUGCUCAGUUCCAGCAGCGUGAUUGAAUUCAAGAAUCUCCACCUACGUCCUGAUUUUGGU